RNAcentral lists this ribosomal RNA (58 nucleotides) under Phialophora verrucosa. Its description in RNAcentral is "partial 28S ribosomal RNA". Lineage: Eukaryota; Fungi; Ascomycota; Eurotiomycetes; Chaetothyriales; Herpotrichiellaceae. The record is from RNAcentral.
GGUUGACCUCGGAUCAGGUAGGAAUACGCGCUGAACUUAAGCAUAUCAAUAAGCGCAG